Molecule: long non-coding RNA, 254 nt
Filed under: Pan troglodytes (chimpanzee)
Lineage: Eukaryota; Metazoa; Chordata; Mammalia; Primates; Hominidae
Description: long non-coding RNA NONPTRT011265
Source: RNAcentral
AUAGAAAUAUAGUGCUUCCGGAUAGGGAUGAUGCUAAAAGAAAGAAACUAGGGCUUGUUUAUGAAUCUCAUGUUUUUAAUUCACUGCAUCAUUAGCUGUAAUUUCAAAACUUCACAGGAGAUCUGUGAAGAUCUGUGAGAUUCUUAUUCUCUUCCUUCUGACUUAACAAAGCUGACUAAAUAGCUUCUAAUCAUUGUCAAGUCUCGCUCUAACCACUAUUUCUGGGUUAAAAUGCAACACUCGGAAAAACUUCC